This 220-nucleotide ribosomal RNA is filed under the name uncultured Glomus. RNAcentral's name for it is "partial small subunit ribosomal RNA". It matches the Rfam family "Eukaryotic small subunit ribosomal RNA", at positions 591 to 816 of the family's 1831-position model. Lineage: Eukaryota; Fungi; Glomeromycota; Glomeromycetes; Glomerales; Glomeraceae. The record is from RNAcentral.
CCAAUAGCGUAUAUUAAAGUUGUUGCAGUUAAAAAGCUCGUAGUUGAACUUCGGGAUCAAUGAGUUGGUCGUGCCCUUGGUAUGAACUGGCUUUAUUGGUUCUCACCUUCUAAUGAACCAUAAUGUCAUUCAUUUGAUGUUUUGGGGAAUUAGGACUGUUACCUUGAAAAAAUUAGAGUGUUUAAAGCAGGCUCACGCUUGAAUACAUUAGCAUGGAAUA